UACGGAAGGCAGCAGUGGGGAAUAUUGCACAAUGGGCGAAAGCCUGAUGCAGCUAUGCCGCGUGUAUGAAGAAGGCCUUAGGGUUGUAAAGUACUUUCAUCGGGGAGGAAAAAACAAAACUAAUAAUUUUAUUUCUUGACGUUACCCGAAAAAGAAGCACCGGCUAACUCCGUGCCAGCAGCCGCGGUAAUACGGAGGGUGCUAGCGUUAAUCAGAAUUACUGGGCGUAAAGAGCACGUAGGUGGUUUUUUUAAGUCAGAUGUGAAUCCCUGGGCUUAACCUGGAACUGCAUUUUGAAACUGAAAUACUAGAGUAUCGUAGAGGGAGGUAGAAUUCUAGGUGUAGCGGUGAAAUGCGUAGAUAUCUGGAGGAAUACCUGUGGCGAAAGCGGCCUCCUAAACGAAUACUGACACUGAGGUGCGAAAGCGUGGGGAGCAAACAGGGAUUAGAUACC
RNAcentral lists this ribosomal RNA (454 nucleotides) under uncultured bacterium. Its description in RNAcentral is "bacterial SSU rRNA". It matches the Rfam family "Bacterial small subunit ribosomal RNA", at positions 340 to 786 of the family's 1533-position model. The record is from RNAcentral.